This 83-nucleotide transfer RNA is filed under the name bacterium. Its description in RNAcentral is "tRNA-Tyr". It matches the Rfam family "tRNA". Rfam says of the family: Transfer RNA (tRNA) molecules are approximately 80 nucleotides in length. The record is from RNAcentral.
CCAGGGGUACUCAAGCGGACAACGAGAAGAGUCUGUAAAACUCUCGGCGCAAGCCUUCGCAGGUUCGAAUCCUGCCCCCUGGA